Molecule: ribosomal RNA, 445 nt
Filed under: uncultured bacterium
Lineage: Bacteria
Description: bacterial SSU rRNA
Rfam family: Bacterial small subunit ribosomal RNA
Source: RNAcentral
CCCAGACUCCUACGGGAGGCAGCAGUGGGGAAUAUUGCACAAUGGGGGAAACCCUGAUGCAGCGACGCCGCGUGAGUGAAGAAGUAUUUCGGUAUGUAAAGCUCUAUCAGCAGGGAAGAUAAUGACGGUACCUGACUAAGAAGCCCCGGCUAACUACGUGCCAGCAGCCGCGGUAAUACGUAGGGGGCAAGCGUUAUCCGGAUUUACUGGGUGUAAAGGGUGCGCAGGUGGCAGGGCAAGUCAGAUGUGAAAGCCCGGGGCUCAACCCCGGUAUUGCAUUUGAAACUGUCCGGCUAGAGUGCAGGAGAGGUAAGCGGAAUUCCUAGUGUAGCGGUGAAAUGCGUAGAUAUUAGGAGGAACACCAGUGGCGAAGGCGGCUUACUGGACUGUAACUGACACUGAGGCACGAAAGCGUGGGGAGCAAACAGGAUUAGAUACCCGGGUA